CCUACGGGUGGCAGCAGUGAGGAAUAUUGGUCAAUGGACGAGAGUCUGAACCAGCCAAGUAGCGUGAAGGAUGACUGCCCUAUGGGUUGUAAACUUCUUUUAUAUGGGAAUAAAACGUUCCACGUGUGGGAUUUUGUAUGUACCAUAUGAAUAAGGAUCGGCUAACUCCGUGCCAGCAGCCGCGGUAAUACGGAGGAUCCGAGCGUUAUCCGGAUUUAUUGGGUUUAAAGGGAGCGUAGGUGGAUUGUUAAGUCAGUUGUGAAAGUUUGCGGGUCAACCGUAAAAUUGCAGUUGAAACUGGCAGUCUUGAGUACAGUAGAGGUGGGCGGAAUUCGUGGUGUAGCGGUGAAAUGCUUAGAUAUCACGAAGAACUCCGAUUGCGAAGGCAGUUCACUGGACUGCAACUGACACUGAGGCUCGAAAGUGUGGGUAUCAAACAGGAUUAGAUACCCUAGUAGUC
Molecule: ribosomal RNA, 460 nt
Filed under: uncultured bacterium
Lineage: Bacteria
Description: partial 16S ribosomal RNA
Rfam family: Bacterial small subunit ribosomal RNA
Source: RNAcentral